Molecule: ribosomal RNA, 301 nt
Filed under: uncultured bacterium
Lineage: Bacteria
Description: partial 16S ribosomal RNA
Rfam family: Bacterial small subunit ribosomal RNA
Source: RNAcentral
CAGCCGCCGCGGUAAUACAGAGGGUGCAAGCGUUAAUCGGAAUUACUGGGCGUAAAGCGCGCGUAGGUGGUUUGUUAAGUUGGAUGUGAAAUCCCCGGGCUCAACCUGGGAACUGCAUCCAAAACUGGCAGGCUAGAGUAGGGCAGAGGGUGGUGGAAUUUCCUGUGUAGCGGUGAAAUGCGUAGAUAUAGGAAGGAACACCAGUGGCGAAGGCGACCACCUGGGCUCAUACUGACACUGAGGUGCGAAAGCGUGGGGAGCAAACAGGAUUAGAUACCCCGGUAGUCCCUGUCUCUUAUAC